Long non-coding RNA from Sebastes umbrosus (honeycomb rockfish), 424 nucleotides. RefSeq lists it as uncharacterized. NCBI's taxonomy places the organism in Eukaryota, Metazoa, Chordata, Actinopteri, Perciformes, Sebastidae. The record is from RefSeq and is a predicted model, not a curated record. The transcript has 4 exons.
AGCGUUCCCAAGCACCUAUUUUUCAGGACGCAACGGCUGCGCCCUGAGAUGAAAAUAGUUAAACUUUUGGAACGCUGCAGCACGCACAGCAUGUCAUGUGACGAGGAACAACCAAUCAGAGCUGGCAGAUAUCUUCUUCCGUAAAUAUCAGUCUACGAUAAAUAUGGAGGAGAAGUUAAUCAUUUUAGUGCAAAGCCAGAGCUUUAUGAUUUGUCCCACAAACUAUUUUACUUACUUCACCCUUUCCGUCCAAGAACAGAGAAAUCAAGCAGUAAAGCUACUGUGAGGGAUUUACGGUGCUGGAAAUCCAUUUAUUUUUGUUUUGACUGAGUUUAGUUUUGUCAGUGAGGCUUACUGCAAAAUUACCGCAACUUUAUCAUCAUCGUCGUCAUAGCGCACAGGUUUUGUUUUGAAGAUUUAUACU